GACGAACGCUGGCGGCGUGCUUAACACAUGCAAGUCGAACGGUAAGGCCCUUUCGGGGGUACACGAGUGGCGAACGGGUGAGUAACACGUGGGUGAUCUGCCUUGCACUUUGGGAUAAGCCUGGGAAACUGGGUCUAAUACCGGAUAGGACUACGCGAUGCAUGUCGUGUGGUGGAAAGCUUUUGCGGUGUGGGAUGGGCCCGCGGCCUAUCAGCUUGUUGGUGGGGUGAUGGCCUACCAAGGCGACGACGGGUAGCCGGCCUGAGAGGGUGUCCGGCCACACUGGGACUGAGAUACGGCCCAGACUCCUACGGGAGGCAGCAGUGGGGAAUAUUGCACAAUGGGCGCAAGCCUGAUGCAGCGACGCCGCGUGGGGGAUGACGGCCUUCGGGUUGUAAACCCCUUUCAGCACAGACGAAGCGUAAGUGACGGUAUGUGCAGAAGAAGCACCGGCCAACUACGUG
This 464-nucleotide ribosomal RNA is filed under the name uncultured bacterium. RNAcentral's name for it is "partial 16S ribosomal RNA". It matches the Rfam family "Bacterial small subunit ribosomal RNA", at positions 28 to 507 of the family's 1533-position model. The record is from RNAcentral.